CUACGGGUGGCUCCAGUGAGGAAUAUUGGUCAAUGGGCGAAAGCCUGAACCAGCCAUGCCGCGUGAAGGAUGACGGCCCUAUGGGUUGUAAACUUCUUUUGUAAGGGAAGAAACCACUCUACGUGUAGAGUUCUGACGGUACCUUACGAAUAAGCAUCGGCUAACUCCGUGCCAGCAGCCGCGGUAAUACGGAGGAUGCAAGCGUUAUCCGGAUUUAUUGGGUUUAAAGGGUGCGUAGGCGGAAAAUUAAGUCAGUGAUGAAAUCCUGCAGCUUAACUGUAGAACUGUUAUUGAUACUGGUUUUCUUGAAUGUAGUUGAGGUAGGCGGAAUGAGUAAUGUAGCGGUGAAAUGCUUAGAUAUUACUCAGAACACCGAUUGCGAAGGCAGCUUACUAAGCUACGAUUGACGCUGAGGCACGAAAGCGUGGGGAGCGAACAGGAUUAGAUACCCUAGUAGUC
This 459-nucleotide ribosomal RNA is filed under the name uncultured bacterium. RNAcentral's name for it is "partial 16S ribosomal RNA". It matches the Rfam family "Bacterial small subunit ribosomal RNA", at positions 339 to 795 of the family's 1533-position model. The record is from RNAcentral.